CCGACCGUUUGUGAGACGCUGGUGUGGUCGCUGUCUUGCAAUUAAAUUCGUGUAGCGAGUCGGAGAAAAGAAGUUUCCCCAGUCGGUCCUUUAAGUCAUUCUUUUCAUCUGCAUUACGUGCAUUAGUUUGGCAGGUUUGGAUCGUUGUGCGAACCGUGCCGCAGCAACGCAGCUGCAACUGCAGGGCCACAUUUAAUAUCCCGCGCCACUCCAAGCAAGGUACUCGGGGUAAAAGUUUUAACAGUUUCCCGUUUUAAUUAUUGAUAACCGUGCCGUGCUUUUUCGUGUCGCAAUUGUCCCACGCGGUCUGUGCAAACUACGUGCGCUACACGCCACCUCUAGCACGCAGCAUGGCGGGCCCGUUUAAUUCCAGCAGUCGAACGCUGAUGGCACUGCUGCUGUUCCAAGGUGCAGCACUCGUCGUGCGUUCCGACGAACCGAAACGUGAUGCAAACUAUCCACCGCCGGAAUUGCUCGAGAAGAUGAAACCGAUGCACGAUGCCUGCGUGGCCGAGACGGGUGUGUCCGAAGAUGCCAUCCGGCGGUUUAGCGAUCAGGACAUUCACGAGGACGACAAGCUAAAGUGCUACAUGAACUGUCUGUUCCAUCAGGCGGGCGUGGUGAAUGACAAGGGCGAGUUUCAUUAUGUGAAAAUUCAAGACUUUCUGCCCGAAUCGAUGCACCUCAUCACGCUGAACUGGUUCAAGCGGUGCCUGUAUCCGGAGGGCGAAACAGCCUGCGAUAAGGCGUUCUGGCUCAACAAGUGCUGGAAAACGAAGGAUCCGGUGCACUACUUCCUACCCUAGGGUGUCGUGGAAUCGAACGAUGCGUUGGGACUUGUUUCGAGAUCCAUCAACCGGACCUUCAGUCCAGGCAGUAAAGAGCUCCAUUUCGCUUUAGUUAAAAGAGGGCCCCACAUAAAACAACAAUGGAAUCGAAUGGUGUUAUCGGGUUCCCGAGGGCUGCCCAUUCGGUGGAGUUCAGCGUCCAACAAUUUCCGGCAUCCGUAUGAUUAGAGAAAGCAAUCUCCUUUCCACACAACCAGCAGUCCAGGCAGCUUAGGACGCUGUCGUUUUUUUUUUCUUUGGCCGUAAUCUUCAGGCGGCCCGCGGGCAAUGACGUUGAGUUGAAGUACGACGCUUCUUCCGGCAUCCACCUCCAUCCACAGGACGAACCGGUGAGAACGAUGCAAAAAUUUGGAAUAUCAUUAAUCAAAGUUUCGACCAACGGCGAAAGAAUAUGGCUCCAUGGGCAAUUAAAGCAACAAAAAGAAACCAAAAAAAAAGGUAGUAACAAGCAAGGGAAAAUGUGCGAGCGAGCAACACCCUGGCCAAGUGCAGCAAGAAACGAAAAACACUGUAAAACUUCCUUGGCUGAUAAAGUAUCGCCGUAAUCAAGCAAAUUAAAAUGUAAAUGAAGAGUACCGCGCGGUACAAGUUUUACGCAGCUUCUUGCCGUCCCUGUGGCGGCGGCGAUGGGCCACAACUGCAAUCGCACAUCCAUUUGACUAAUUAAAAACAAAACAAAACAAAAAUGGCAACAACACCCUUCGCACGCUGGGGCCCGAUUGUGCUGCACCCGGGUGCAGUGGUACAGUUCGCAAGUGCAUAGCAAAACACAAAGCAACAAUAAAAUCAGCGCACAAUUCAAAGGACAGUACGUACGCGUCCCUCAUUACCUGAGUUCUGGGUGGGUAAAAUGGAUAAAAAAACGAAAGCAGCAGCAGAUUUUGCAUUCAAAUCACAACUCGUGGACAAGGGGAGCUCAUGGUUUUAGUGUAAUGCGCAUUGCAUAGCUUUUGGCGUUUAAAAUUUAAUUUGCAGCACUGCGAAGUAUUCAUUGGACGCAAUAGCUAAUUUAUGUUUUAAUUUUAAUUAUUAAAUGAUUAAAAAUGAGAUAAGACACUCGAAAAGGCCCCUUCUGACGAAAUUUGCUCAUCACUAUAUGCUAGUCGCCUAAAUGUAUGCAAAGCGCAACACAUGUUGCAAAGGCUGCACAGUACCUUUUCUGUGGGCUCAACAAUAGUUGAAUAAAGUGAAGGAAAAUGUAGCUAAAGUU
Anopheles stephensi (Asian malaria mosquito) is the source of this 2058-nucleotide RNA transcript. It is a transcript of the gene named general odorant-binding protein 83a-like, with no coding region annotated. Lineage: Eukaryota; Metazoa; Arthropoda; Insecta; Diptera; Culicidae. The record is from RefSeq and is a predicted model, not a curated record. The transcript has 5 exons.